This 118-nucleotide ribosomal RNA is filed under the name Otolemur garnettii (small-eared galago). The record is from RNAcentral. Lineage: Eukaryota; Metazoa; Chordata; Mammalia; Primates; Galagidae.
GACUGCCUAUGGCCACACCACCCUGAAUAUGUCCCAUCUCCUCUGAUCUCAGAAGCUAAGGUGCAUCAGGCCUGGUUGGUACGUGGGUGGGAAGAUUCUAGGAAAUCAUGUGCAGGUA